AUACUUACCUGGCAGGGGAGAUACCAUGAUCACGAAGGUGGUUCUCCCAGGGCGAGGCUCAUCCAUUGCACUCCGGCCGUGCUGACCCCUGCGAUUUCCCCAAAUGCGGGAACGUCGACUGCAUAAUUUCUGGUAGUGGGGGACUGCGUUCGCGCUUUCCCCUG
This is a non-coding RNA of Xenopus tropicalis (tropical clawed frog), 164 nucleotides long. NCBI's taxonomy places the organism in Eukaryota, Metazoa, Chordata, Amphibia, Anura, Pipidae. The record is from Rfam.